Long non-coding RNA from Oncorhynchus kisutch (coho salmon), 332 nucleotides. RefSeq lists it as uncharacterized. The record is from RefSeq and is a predicted model, not a curated record. NCBI's taxonomy places the organism in Eukaryota, Metazoa, Chordata, Actinopteri, Salmoniformes, Salmonidae. The transcript is spliced from 3 exons.
CUUUAUGAGGUGCAACCAAAACAGCUGUUUGACAUAGCAACAGGGAUAUUCUGGCAGGCUGUCGAGAAUUAGUUCUUGAAUACUGUUGUGGUUUUGAUCACUAAAAUGGCUGUGACUUUUGGACUCUCUUUGAGUGUUUCUUGGAUUUGUUGCCUGCUAAUUGGAGGGAUAACUUGUUUUACACUUAAAGGUAACGCUCAUGGGCAUCCUGCCUACACUGGACCUGAACCGACUGGAUCCUAUGCCCAAGCAAGUGUGGUGUCUGGUCCAAAUGUUAAAGCUACUGGCCACAAUGCCACGUGAGCGGAAGCUACUGGCCACAAUGCCACGUG